UUUCGUUGGGUUUCUAAUAAUUAGGUAGGUAAAUCAGAUGUCAAAAAUUAAUAAAUUUGUUAUGAAAAAAAAAAAAAAAAAACAAAUCAUCAAGAAAUUGAAGAAACGGAGGAUAAUCUUUCAAAUGUGCAAUCGAUCACUCCUGAACCAAAAUUUAGAUAUUUAUUUGAUGAAUUUUAUAAACUUGUUUCCAUUAAUGAUUCAAACAGCAUUGUGCCAAAAUUGUGCAAAAGGUUUAAGUAGAUCCUCAAGUUCAAGUGGAAAGUUGUUGAGCCAUAUUAAAUAUAAACAAUAAACACAACUCAUUGAUGACAAGGAUUCAAAGCAAAAUUCGGGAGAAACAACUGUUCAAAUUAAAAUUAUAUUCAUACAAAAAAAGUAUUCAAGGAAAAGGUAAAAAAGAUUAGUGAAUUGGUGUGCAAUUAUAUAGUAGAUGAAAUGUGGCCAUUAGUCACUUGUGAAAAAAGCGUUUUCAAAAUUUACUAUUAAGAUUAACUGGAUUAAAUGAUUCAUCUAUUCUUUCUAACAGAAAGCAUAAGUCAAAACAGUUAGCAGUGACAUAUAAAGCAAAUGUGGAUAUGUUAAAAACUCAAAUUGAAACCCAUAAUUAUGUUUGCUAAGUAGCAAAUAUUUGGAGCUCCAACAACAAAAGUAGUAUGGGUAUGACAUUUCAUUUCAUUGAAGAUACAUAUGAUGGAAAAUCAUGUUCUUGGCUGUCAACGAAUUAAAAGAGUUCAUAAUUAUUUAAAUAUUGUGGAAGUAUUAACAAAAAUAAUGGAUAAAUUCAAAAUAGAUGUAUCGAAAGUUAUACGCAUCAUAACAGAUAAUGCAAGUAACAUUAAAAUAUUUCUUCAUCAUCAUUACUUGCAAUACAGCAAACAAGAUUGCCAUGUAUAGGAAAUUUUUACGAAGAAAAUAAUUUAAGUAGAAGUAGCUCAAACAAUGCAAUGGAUAGUGAAAAUUCAGACAUAAAAAUAGUCUAAAUGAAUUCAAUGUAUUCAAGUACAAAAAAUGUUGAGAAAGACAAUGUUAUACUCUAAGUUUAAUUGCAACAUGUGAUUUUCAAAAAUUACAGAUGCCAACUACGUUUAAGUUUCAAAAUCUGCAUUUAAUAAACUGUCUAGAUUUUGGAACCUUGUUAGCAGGAGCUCAGUGGCUUCAGAUAAUGUUUUAAAGUUAAGUUUCCAGUUUCUGUAAUUACAAGAUGGAGUUCUUUAUUUGAUGUGGCACAAAAAGUCAUAAGUAGGGCCCAGAAUUAUAUGCACUAAAACGUACGAAAUAUGCAUGCAUUUAUGCAAUGGUUAUCAUUCAAAUAUGCAUC
This is a long non-coding RNA of Sipha flava (yellow sugarcane aphid), 1321 nucleotides long. RefSeq lists it as uncharacterized. Lineage: Eukaryota; Metazoa; Arthropoda; Insecta; Hemiptera; Aphididae. The transcript has 4 exons. The record is from RefSeq and is a predicted model, not a curated record.